GACGGUUUUUAAGACUCUGUCUUAAAAUUAAAAGGGAAUUGAGUGAAAAUCUCAGGCAACCGCCAUUACCGUAACUGAUGAAGCAAAUACAUAUGCCAUUGGGUGACCGAGAAGGCGUAUUUGCGGGUAUACUGAAAAUAUACUAUAUCACAAGCCGGGAGACCUGCCGCAAACAAA
RNAcentral lists this non-coding RNA (177 nucleotides) under uncultured Eubacterium sp. The record is from RNAcentral. Lineage: Bacteria; Bacillati; Bacillota; Clostridia; Eubacteriales; Eubacteriaceae.